Molecule: transfer RNA, 86 nt
Filed under: Candidatus Woesebacteria bacterium RIFCSPHIGHO2_01_FULL_41_10
Lineage: Bacteria; Candidatus Woeseibacteriota
Description: tRNA-Leu
Rfam family: tRNA
About the family: Transfer RNA (tRNA) molecules are approximately 80 nucleotides in length. Their secondary structure includes four short double-helical elements and three loops (D, anti-codon, and T loops).
Source: RNAcentral
GCCGAGGUGGCGGAACUGGCAGACGCGCAUGGUUUAGGACCAUGUGGGGCUUAUACCCUGUGCAGGUUCGACUCCUGUCCUCGGCA